CGUUUGGUUGUGAAUAUUUUUAAAAACUUAACGAUAAAUCCUCCUUUGUUGAUUAAUUAUAGUCCUAAGGACUUCAUUACAACACAAGAGUUCAAAGAUAGAUAAUUUAUAAUAAAAAUAUCAAAUAAUUUUUAUUAAUAAAAAUUUAUAUACAAUUUACAAGAUGAGCACAAUCGUCUAAUAAUUGACUUUGAGACACAUUUUUCAACACCAGAGUAGAAGAAGAAUCUAUGGCAGAAGGAG
This 243-nucleotide long non-coding RNA is filed under the name Elaeis guineensis (African oil palm). Its description in RNAcentral is "long non-coding RNA (EGUI_LNC043902)". Lineage: Eukaryota; Viridiplantae; Streptophyta; Magnoliopsida; Arecales; Arecaceae. The record is from RNAcentral.